GGAUUUCUGUCGUGGUCAUCCGGCUCCGCCUGUAUAGGUGUGCGCCUGGUUUGCCCUCGGCUUUCUUCCGGUAGCCUACCGCGCUUCACUGCGUGCGUGGGUGUUUUCCGGAACUUUUACUUUGAGAAAAAUAGAGUGUUUCAAGCAGGCUUGUCGCCCUGAAUACUUCAGCAUGGAGUAAUAAGAUAGGACCUUGGUUCUAUUUUGUUGGUUUCUAGGACCAAGGUAAUGGUUAAUAGGGACAGUUGGGGGCAUUCGUAUUUAACUGUCAGAGGUGAAAUUCUUAGAUUUGUUAAAGACGAACUACUGCGAAAGCAUUUGCCAUGGAUGUUUUCAUUAAUCAAGAACGACAGUAGGGGGUUUGAAGACGAUUAGAUACCGUCGUAAUCUCUACCAUAAACUAUGCCGACUAGAGAUAGGGAAUCCAUUAGCCCAAUCUUCCCUGCACCUCAUGAGAAAUCAAAGUCUCUGGGUUCUGGGGGGAGUAUGGUCGCAAGGCUGAAACUUAAAG
RNAcentral lists this ribosomal RNA (511 nucleotides) under Eimeria sp. 17_8. Its description in RNAcentral is "SSU rRNA". It matches the Rfam family "Eukaryotic small subunit ribosomal RNA", at positions 636 to 1149 of the family's 1831-position model. The record is from RNAcentral. Lineage: Eukaryota; Apicomplexa; Conoidasida; Eucoccidiorida; Eimeriidae. RNAcentral also lists the same sequence under 1 other name.